UCAAUAAAAAGUGAGCACUGCCUG
This 24-nucleotide non-coding RNA is filed under the name Rattus norvegicus (Norway rat). Lineage: Eukaryota; Metazoa; Chordata; Mammalia; Rodentia; Muridae. The record is from RNAcentral.